RNAcentral lists this ribosomal RNA (252 nucleotides) under uncultured bacterium. RNAcentral's name for it is "partial 16S ribosomal RNA". It matches the Rfam family "Bacterial small subunit ribosomal RNA", at positions 524 to 776 of the family's 1533-position model. The record is from RNAcentral.
UACGUAGGUGGCGAGCGUUAUCCGGAAUGAUUGGGCGUAAAGGGUGCGUAGGCGGCCUGCUAAGUCUGGAGUGAAAGGUACCGGCUCAACCGGUACAGGCUCUGGAAACUGGCGGGCUAGAGAGCAGGAGAGGGCGGUGGAACUCCAUGUGUAGCGGUAAAAUGCGUAGAUAUAUGGAAGAACACCAGUGGCGAAGGCGGCCGCCUGGCCUGUUACUGACGCUGAGGCACGAAAGCGUGGGGAGCAAAUAGG